Salvia splendens (bonfire salvia) is the source of this 437-nucleotide long non-coding RNA. RefSeq lists it as uncharacterized. NCBI's taxonomy places the organism in Eukaryota, Viridiplantae, Streptophyta, Magnoliopsida, Lamiales, Lamiaceae. The record is from RefSeq and is a predicted model, not a curated record. The transcript is spliced from 5 exons.
UUUGGUAUAGAUUCAAGAGAGUUAAAUGCUCCCUCCGAGGAAAGUUACCCGAAGGGCCAACUGGAACGUAAUACAAAGCGCUUGGCAGAUGUCGUCUCAGAUGCUUCAAAUUUUCAGUCAUUCAUUAUGAUGAACUUUGGAAGCUUUAGCAACAAUCUUUCUACUCCCUCUGGAGAGUUUGUAUCUGGCUGGUGCUCGUCUAACAUUCUAGUUUGUGAAGAGGAUGCACCAUUAAAAUGAGAAGGAUCUGUUUCUCAACAUGUUCAUUCGGGUCAUAGAGAAGGACUAUUAGAAACUGUCAGAUGGGAAAGUGUCCACAGUUAGCAAUAACUUGUGUUCACUGUUAUGUCAUGCAUAGUCUUUAGUUCCAGGAUUUUUGAAUGAAGAUGAUGUACAACUGCUGAGGGAAUACGCUUCAUAAAAAGGAAUUUUAGUGC